This 24-nucleotide non-coding RNA is filed under the name Rattus norvegicus (Norway rat). Lineage: Eukaryota; Metazoa; Chordata; Mammalia; Rodentia; Muridae. The record is from RNAcentral.
UGGGUACAGGAGGAUAGUGGCCAA